CUACGGGCUGCUCCAGUGAGGAAUAUUGCACAAUGGAGGAAACUCUGAUGCAGCAACGCCGCGUGGAGGAUGACGCAUUUCGGUGUGUAAACUCCUUUUAUGAGUCAAGAAAAUGACGGUAGCUCAUGAAUAAGCACCGGCUAACUCCGUGCCAGCAGCCGCGGUAAUACGGAGGGUGCAAGCGUUACUCGGAAUCACUGGGCGUAAAGGACGCGUAGGCGGGAUAUCAAGUCAGGUGUGAAAUCCUACAGCUUAACUGUAGAACUGCACUUGAAACUGGUAACCUAGAGUAUGGGAGGGGGAGAUGGAAUUAGUGGUGUAGGGGUAAAAUCCGUAGAUAUCACUAGGAAUACCUAAAGCGAAGGCGAUCUCCUGGAACAUAACUGACGCUAAGGCGUGAAAGCGUGGGGAGCAAACAGGAUUAGAUACCCUAGUAGUC
Molecule: ribosomal RNA, 439 nt
Filed under: uncultured bacterium
Lineage: Bacteria
Description: partial 16S ribosomal RNA
Rfam family: Bacterial small subunit ribosomal RNA
Source: RNAcentral